AAGACUUUAAGUUAAAAUUAAACUAAUAUCCUUCAAAGUUAUCAAUAAAGAAAAUUUCUUUAAGUUUUA
This 69-nucleotide transfer RNA is filed under the name Paratoxodera polyacantha. RNAcentral describes it as "tRNA-Trp". Lineage: Eukaryota; Metazoa; Arthropoda; Insecta; Mantodea; Toxoderidae. The record is from RNAcentral.